UAGAAUCAAGAAUAUUAAGUACCAUAUUUUAGUGAUAUUUGUUUUUAUUUUUUUUUUAUUUUUUGAUAAAGGUAGUGAUAUUUAUUUAUUAUCUAAGCAAGAUUAAAAAUAUUAAAAUAAUAACCAUGUAAAAAGCAUCUGGUAUUGUUAUCUUUUCCCUUUUUUAAUUACUUUAAUAAAUAAGAGAAAGAAAUUGUAC
This 199-nucleotide long non-coding RNA is filed under the name Capsella rubella. Its description in RNAcentral is "long non-coding RNA (CRUB_LNC002550)". Lineage: Eukaryota; Viridiplantae; Streptophyta; Magnoliopsida; Brassicales; Brassicaceae. The record is from RNAcentral.